This 448-nucleotide ribosomal RNA is filed under the name uncultured bacterium. Its description in RNAcentral is "bacterial SSU rRNA". It matches the Rfam family "Bacterial small subunit ribosomal RNA", at positions 28 to 478 of the family's 1533-position model. The record is from RNAcentral.
GAUGAACGCUGGCGGCGUGCUUAACACAUGCAAGUCGAGCGAAGCACUUAUGAUGAUCCUUCGGGUGAAUCAUUUGUGACUGAGCGGCGGACGGGUGAGUAACGCGUGAGUAACCUGCCUCAUACAGGGGAAUAACAGUUAGAAAUGACUGCUAAUGCCGCAUAAGCGCACAGGGCCGCAUGGCCCGGUGUGAAAAACUCCGGUGGUAUGAGAUGGACUCGCGUCUGAUUAGCUAGUUGGCAGGGUAACGGCCUACCAAGGCGACGAUCAGUAGCCGGCCUGAGAGGGUGAACGGCCACAUUGGGACUGAGACACGGCCCAAACUCCUACGGGAGGCAGCAGUGGGGAAUAUUGCACAAUGGGGGAAACCCUGAUGCAGCGACGCCGCGUGAGUGAAGAAGUAUUUCGGUAUGUAAAGCUCUAUCAGCAGGGAAGAAAAUGACGGUAC